CCUACGGGAGGCAGCAGUGAGGAAUAUUGGUCAAUGGGCGCGAGCCUGAACCAGCCAAGUAGCGUGAAGGAUGACUGCCCUACGGGUUGUACACUUCUUUUAUAAGGGAAUAAAGUGCGGAACGUGUGCCUCUUUGUAUGUACUUUAUGAAUAAGGAUCGGCUAACUCCGUGCCAGCAGCCGCGGUAAUACGGAGGAUCCGAGCGUUAUCCGGAUUUAUUGGGUUUAAAGGGAGCUGAGAUGGGUUGUUAAGUCAGUUGUGAAAGUUUGCGGCCCAACCGUACCAUUGCAAUUGAUACUGGCAGCCGUGAGUACAGUUGAGGUAGGCGGAAUUCGUGGUGUAGCGGUGAAAUGCUUAGAUAUCACGAAGAACUCCGAUUGCGAAGGCAGCCUACUAAACUGCCACUGACAUUGAUGCUCGAAAGUGUGGGUAUCAAACAGGAUUAGAUACCCUUGUAGUC
This 460-nucleotide ribosomal RNA is filed under the name uncultured bacterium. Its description in RNAcentral is "partial 16S ribosomal RNA". It matches the Rfam family "Bacterial small subunit ribosomal RNA", at positions 338 to 795 of the family's 1533-position model. The record is from RNAcentral.